Long non-coding RNA from Gopherus flavomarginatus (Mexican gopher tortoise), 355 nucleotides. RefSeq lists it as uncharacterized. The record is from RefSeq and is a predicted model, not a curated record. Lineage: Eukaryota; Metazoa; Chordata; Testudines; Testudinidae. The transcript is spliced from 3 exons.
AGCUGCCCGAGCCGGAGCGGAACCGCUGUUCUCAGCUGCAGCCAGGAUCUGCCCCCGGCUCCGCUGGGAUCCAGGCCAGAGAAUAACAUCCAUGUUUCGCUGCAGAUCAUCUCGUCCUCCCAGGGACAAGGAAAUGGCUGCAAUGGAGCUGGCUCAGGGGCCGGUGACCUUCGAGGAGGUGUCUGUGUAUUUCUCCAGGGAAGAGGGGACUCUGCUGGACCCCACUCAGAGAGCCCUCUACAGAGAUGUCAUGCAGGGGAACUAUGAGACGAUGGUCUUGCUGGGUAAGGAUUCCUGUCCCUUCUGUUCUUGGAAGGGGAAAUGAAGAGUGAAGGUUCAUGCCACCCCCACAAUG